Hevea brasiliensis (rubber tree) is the source of this 1894-nucleotide RNA transcript. It is a transcript of the gene named B3 domain-containing transcription factor VRN1, with no coding region annotated. NCBI's taxonomy places the organism in Eukaryota, Viridiplantae, Streptophyta, Magnoliopsida, Malpighiales, Euphorbiaceae. The record is from RefSeq and is a predicted model, not a curated record. The transcript has 6 exons.
AGCAAUUGUCUAUCUUGUUUCAUUACAGUUUCGUCUGAUCGCCCCAUAAUUCUAGUUACACCAAGCUGUAGACGAUUUUUAGAAGCGGAGAGCUUGACCAUUAUGGAAACUGCACCCCACUUUUUUAAGAUAAUUCUUGACAAUACUAUCCGCCAGGGAAAACUUGGUAUUCCAAGAAAGUUUGUGAGAAAAUAUGGAAAUGAUUUGUCAAGUCCGGUAAUCCUUAGUGUUCCUAGUGGUGCUAUCUGGCGAGUAGAGUUGUUGAAGUGCGAUGGCGAUGUUUGGUUGGGACAAGGUUGGCAAGAUUUCUCGAAUUAUUACUCUUUGGAGCAUGGAAACUUUCUUGUUUUUAAAUAUGAGGGAGAUUGCCAAUUUCAUGUACUCAUAUUCAACAAGAGUGCUUCAGAGAUUGAGUACCCAUGUAAUAACAUCUACAAUGCAAAUCCUGAUCAUGAUGAACUCCAAGAUAACAAGAUUGAAGAAAAUGAAGAUGACACCUCUGUUGAAGCAUUAGAUGAUCAGUCACAAUGCAAGAAAAUGGGGGAGAAAUCAACAUUCCUAUGUGCUCAAUCUCGGAAGCUCAUGCAAUCAAGGUGCAAAAAGAAUGAGCAUAGGAAGGUGGGAACGCCAACUUCAUGUCCAAUUCCUUCUCAAGCUCUUGACGCUGCAAACAAGUUCAUAACAGAGUAUCCAUCUUUCAACGUUGUGCUGAAGCAAUAUCAUUUGGUGCACAGCUAUGUGGUUGUGCUACCAAGCUUUUUCUUAAGCCAUUUUGAGCGUAAAACACAGAAUAUAUUGCUUCAAAUUGCGGAUAGAAUGUGGCCUGUGAAGUUGAUCUGCCCUUCAGCUUGUAGAUUGUUCAUGUCAUUUGUAGAAACGCCAGCUGGUGGCUACUGCCAUCACUCUCAACUGGGAACUUAACAUAGGAAGAAUUCCUUGGCUUGGUCAGGACUCAGGUGGCUUUAAUGGUUGAUAUCAAAAUCAAUGCAUCAAUCUGUCUCUCUGUGAAUUAAUGAAACUGUAGUUGGUGGUACUAAUUUCACUGGGCUUGCAAGAGCAGAGGCAGCAGUAUUGCUGUUCCAAAUUAAUUGCUUCUUCUAAACCUGACAGCAAUUGUAAAUGCUCAGUGUUUCCUUUACAACUGUUCCAUUUGGAAAGUUUGCUUGUUUGACACUCUGCGAGCAGAAGUUGAAAUCUCAUCUUAGAACCAAUUUCUGUGCUCAAAAUGAAGAGGGAUUGUGCUGUUAUUCCUUUUUUGGCUGUUGAACAUGACUGAUGUGAUAAAGCUCUCUCCAAUGCCAUUCAUGCUAGUCUUUGGAUCCGUUUAAGUUAAUACUUUCAAUAAAAGAAGAUGGUUGCAGUGAAGUUUGUUAAACAACAUGGAAAUUGUCUAUCCCGUCCAGUAACUCUUGUGUCCCAAGUGGUGCUGCAUGGGAAGCUGAGUUGUUGGACAAUGAGGGAGAUACUUGGUUCGAAAAGGGUUGGAAAGAAUUUGCCGAGAUUCACUCUCUUGAGCACGGACAUACUGUAUUUUUUAGAUAUGUUGAAUAUUGUCAUUUCCAUGUGCUAAUCUGUAUUAAGUAUUAGACGCAGACCAUGCCAGUGAUGCCUUUGAAGUGAUAGGGCUUGGUAUAGAAGAAGAAGAACAAGAAGAUGGAAUUCAAUUUGGAGCACCAUAAGUGUGACGGCAAGGAAGCUACAAGGGCUGCUUCAUCUUUCAUUACUGCUCCAACACUUGAAGCUGCCAACAACUUCAUUGCAGAGUACCCGUCCUUUAUGAAGCUUUGCAGCCAUACCAUCUGGGGCGUGGCCAUGUUGUAGGAUAAAGAAUCAUAUUUUAGAUAGUAUGCAUGAUAGAUGCUCAUUAUUAAUGCCAUCAAGACAAAUUUUAUCA